Molecule: ribosomal RNA, 255 nt
Filed under: uncultured bacterium
Lineage: Bacteria
Description: partial small subunit ribosomal RNA
Rfam family: Bacterial small subunit ribosomal RNA
Source: RNAcentral
AGGACGAACGCUGGCGGCGUGCUUAACACAUGCAAGUCGAGCGGAAAGGCCCUUCGGGGUACUCGAGCGGCGAACGGGUGAGUAACACGUGAGCAACCUGCCCUUAGCUUCGGGAUAGCUCCGGGAAACCGGAAUUAAAUACCGAAUAUGACUUUGGCUGACAUCAGCAGAAGUGGAAAGUUUUUCGGCUAAGGAUGAGCUCGCGGCCUAUCAGCUUGUUGGUGGGGUAACGGCCUACCAAGGCGACGACGGGUA